RNAcentral lists this ribosomal RNA (1560 nucleotides) under Triticum aestivum (bread wheat). RNAcentral's name for it is "partial small subunit ribosomal RNA". Lineage: Eukaryota; Viridiplantae; Streptophyta; Magnoliopsida; Poales; Poaceae. The record is from RNAcentral.
AUGACGCCGACGCCGGCGCGCGCCUCCGCGGCCGCGGCCCACGCCCUGCUGCGCAGAACGAGAUGCUUCGCCGCGGCGAAUCAGAUCCGGACGGCCUCGAGGGCCUUCUCCAGCGCGCCGGCGGGAGCGUCCGAGCCGCAGGGCCCAGAGAAAGUUGCCGGAGAUGACGAGCUUGAUGUUGCUAUCGUCGGUGGAGGCAUGGUGGGCCUGGCUGUUGCUUGUGCACUCUCCAAUAUGCCAUUGACCAAACACCUGCGAGUUGCCGUCAUCGAUAGCAAUCCUGCAUUGAAGUCAAUGAAUUAUCUCAAGAAAGAUGGUAUACCUGAUUCAAGGGUCAGCACUGUUACUCCUGCAACCAUUUCCUUCUUCAGAGAUAUUGGUGCAUGGGAGCAUAUUCUACAGCAGAGACAUGCUUUCUUUGGUAAAAUGCAGGUGUGGGAUUACACUGGACUGGGAUACACAAGGUACAACGCAAGAGAUGUGUCCAAAGAAUAUCUUGGAUGUGUGGUGGAGAACAAGGUGCUUUGCAACUCACUUCUGUUACGCUUACAGGAGCAAAAGGAAGACAUUGGAAAGAUGGUCUACCCUACCCGAUUGGUGUCUCUUGCUUUCCCAUCAAAGAGCAGAAACGUAGGAGUAGCAGGACUGAAGCCACCAUCAACUGAGGCAGAGGAACUACGCCGUAGUAAUUUGGUUAAACUUGACCUAAGUGAUGGACAGACUUUAUAUUCAAAGUUGGUGGUAGGAGCAGAUGGUUCCAAAUCCAAUGUAAGGCAGAUUGCGGGCAUAAAAACAACUGGUUGGAGUUAUCCUCAGAGUGCGAUUAUCUGUACAGUAGAGCAUACUGCAGCGAAUGACUGUGCAUGGCAGAGGUUUCUCCCUUCUGGUCCGAUUGCCCUGCUUCCAAUAGGCGACAACUUCAGCAAUAUAGUGUGGACAAUGAGCCCAGAGGAGGCAUCACGGCAUAAGUCAAUGAGCUCUGAAGAUUUUGUGAUGUCAGUGAACCGUGCAUUGGAUUUUGGUUAUGGACCGCAUCCCAACUCUAGUAGUCUUGACCAUUACGUGGAAAGGUUGUUUUCUGACUUUGGAGGUACUGCAGCGUCUACGAAAGAAUGCUUUGAAGUACCACCAAGGGCAAUUGGGCUGAUCUCAGAGAGAAUGGCAUUUCCAUUGUCACUGAUGCAUUCCCAUGAUUAUGUUUCAAAAAGGCUAGCCUUAGUUGGUGAUGCUGCUCAUACAGUGCACCCCUUGGCCGGUCAAGGUGUCAAUUUGGGUUUUGGAGAUGCAGCUGCCUUAGCAAAAGUUAUUUCUGAAGGAGUUUCUGUUGGUGCUGAUAUUGGGGAUCUAUCUUUGCUGAAUCGGUAUGAGACUGACCGCAAGGCUGCCAAUAUUGCGAUGGCGGCAGUUCUAGAUGGCUUCCAGAAGAUGUACUCUGUCGAUUUCGGACCCCUCAAUGUUCUAAGAGCCGCUGCAUUCCAUGGUGCCCAGUACAUAUCACCACUGAAGAAGAACAUAAUAUCUUACGCAAUGGGCGACAGCAAAUCGCCUCUGUUUUCAUAA